UACGUAGGGUGCAAGCGUUGUUCGGAAUUAUUGGGCGUAAAGCGUACGUAGGUGGAUUGAAAAGUCGGGUGUGAAAGCCCAUGGCUUAACUGUGGAACUGCGCUCGAAACUUUCAAUCUAGAGGAUGGUAGAGGUAGGUGGAAUUCCUAGUGUAGAGGUGAAAUUCGUAGAUAUUAGGAGGAACACUCGUGGCGAAGGCGGCCUACUGGGCCAUUCCUGACACUGAGGUACGAAAGCAUGGGGAGCAAACAGG
This 253-nucleotide unclassified non-coding RNA is filed under the name uncultured delta proteobacterium. Its description in RNAcentral is "contains 16S-23S intergenic spacer region". It matches the Rfam family "Bacterial small subunit ribosomal RNA", at positions 524 to 776 of the family's 1533-position model. Lineage: Bacteria; Deltaproteobacteria. The record is from RNAcentral.